GACAGAGGGUGCAAACGUUGUUCGGAAUUACUGGGCGUAAAGCGCGUGUAGGCAGCGACUGCAAGUCGGGUGUGAAAGCCCUGGGCUCAACCUAGGAAGUGCACUCGAAACUGCAGGGCUUGAGUUCUGGAGAGGAAGGCGGAAUUCUCGGUGUAGAGGUGAAAUUCGUAGAUAUCAGGAGGAACACCGGUGGCGAAGGCGGAUCUCUGGGCCGAGUACUGACGCUGAGGAGCGAAAGCGUGGGGAGCGAACCGG
This 255-nucleotide ribosomal RNA is filed under the name uncultured bacterium. RNAcentral's name for it is "partial 16S ribosomal RNA". It matches the Rfam family "Bacterial small subunit ribosomal RNA", at positions 524 to 776 of the family's 1533-position model. The record is from RNAcentral.